This 386-nucleotide ribosomal RNA is filed under the name uncultured eukaryote. Its description in RNAcentral is "SSU rRNA". It matches the Rfam family "Eukaryotic small subunit ribosomal RNA", at positions 587 to 972 of the family's 1831-position model. The record is from RNAcentral.
AGCUCCAAUAGCGUAUAUUAAUGUUGUUGCAGUUAAAAAGCUCGUAGUUGGAUUUCUGGUGGGGUUGUCGGCCUGGCUCCGAAAGGGGUUGUGGCUUGACACACCUUGCCAUCCUCGGGAGUAGCUUCGCUGGCAUUAAGUUGUCGGCGGAGUGACGCUCGUCGUUUACUGUGAACAAAUUAGAGUGUUCAAAGCAGGCUUAGGCCGUUGAAUACAUUAGCAUGGAAUAAUAAGAUAGGACUUUGGUGGUCUAUUUUGUUGGUUUGCACGCCGAAGUAAUGAUUAAUAGGGGCGGUUGGGGGUAUUCGUAUUCAAUUGUCAGAGGUGAAAUUCUUGGAUUUAUGGAAGACGAACUACUGCGAAAGCAUUUACCAAGGAUGUUUUCA